Molecule: ribosomal RNA, 484 nt
Filed under: uncultured bacterium
Lineage: Bacteria
Description: partial 16S ribosomal RNA
Rfam family: Bacterial small subunit ribosomal RNA
Source: RNAcentral
AUUGAACGCUGGCGGCAGGCCUAACACAUGCAAGUCGAGCGGAUGAAGGGAGCUUGCUCCUGGAUUCAGCGGCGGACGGGUGAGUAAUGCCUAGGAAUCUGCCUGGUCGUGGGGGAUAACGUCCGGAAACGGGCGCUAAUACCGCAUACGUCCUGAUGGAGAAAGGGGGGGAUCUUCGGACCUCACGCUAUCAGAUGAGCCUAGGUCGGAUUAGCUAGUUGGUGGGGUAAAGGCCUACCAAGGCGACGAUCCGUAACUGGUCUGAGAGGAUGAUCAGUCACACUGGAACUGAGACACGGUCCAGACUCCUACGGGAGGCAGCAGUGGGGAAUAUUGGACAAUGGGCGAAAGCCUGAUCCAGCCAUGCCGCGUGUGUGAAGAAGGUCUUCGGAUUGUAAAGCACUUUAAGUUGGGAGGAAGGGCAGUAAGUUAAUACCUUGCUGUUUUGACGUUACCAACAGAAUAAGCACCGGCUAACUUCGUG